UCUGGAUCGUUGAGCAAGCGCUGGUCGCCUGCCGACGCCUAUUAUAUAGAAAAUUAUACUAACGGAGGGUUACCUACGUCAUCCACUUUGUAAAACGUAUUUGAGAGGUUCGGGUUACCAAAUCUCUUUGUAUCAAAACCGUGCCACGUGCAAUAUG
Molecule: long non-coding RNA, 157 nt
Organism: Nymphalis io (European peacock)
Lineage: Eukaryota; Metazoa; Arthropoda; Insecta; Lepidoptera; Nymphalidae
Exons: 3
Source: RefSeq, a predicted model, not a curated record